This 471-nucleotide ribosomal RNA is filed under the name uncultured bacterium. Its description in RNAcentral is "bacterial SSU rRNA". It matches the Rfam family "Bacterial small subunit ribosomal RNA", at positions 57 to 518 of the family's 1533-position model. The record is from RNAcentral.
GCAAGUCGAGGGGCAGCAUAAAAGUAGCAAUACUUGGUGGCGACCGGCGCACGGGUGAGUAACGCGUAUGCAACCUACCUAUCAGAGGGGAAUAACCCGGCGAAAGUCGGACUAAUACCGCAUAAAACAGGGGCACCGCAUGGUGAUAUUUGUUAAAGAAAUUCGCUGAUAGAUGGGCAUGCGUUCCAUUAGGUAGUUGGUGAGGUAACGGCUCACCAAGCCGACGAUGGAUAGGGGAACUGAGAGGUUGGUCCCCCACACUGGUACUGAGACACGGACCAGACUCCUACGGGAGGCAGCAGUGAGGAAUAUUGGUCAAUGGGCGGGAGCCUGAACCAGCCAAGUCGCGUGAAGGGAAAAGAAGGAUCUAUGGUUCGUAAACUUCUUUUGCAGGGGAAUAAAGUGCAGGACGUGUCCUGUUUUGUAUGUACCCUGAGAAUAAGGAUCGGCUAACUCCGUGCCAGCAGCAGC